Molecule: ribosomal RNA, 686 nt
Filed under: uncultured Haplosporidia
Lineage: Eukaryota; Endomyxa; Ascetosporea; Haplosporida
Description: SSU rRNA
Rfam family: Eukaryotic small subunit ribosomal RNA
Source: RNAcentral
GGACUCGGGGGGAAGUAUGCUCGCAAGAGUGAAACUUAAAGGAAUUGACGGAAGGGCACCACCAGAUGUGGAGCCUGCGGCUUAAUUUGACUCAACACGGGAAAACUUACCAGGUCCAGACAUAGUCAGGAUUGACAGAUUGAAGUUCUUUCAUGAUUCUAUGCAUAGUGGUGCAUGGCCGUUCUUAGUUGGUGGAAUGAUCUGUCAGGUUAAUUCCGAUAACGAACGAGACCCCAGCCAUCUAAAUAGCUGUCUCUACUAUAUAUUAUAGUAGUGUGUGUACUCAAAAUAUACGUACAGCUUCUUAGAGGGACUAUCUGUGUCAACAGGUGGAAGUGUGGGGCAAUAACAGGUCAGUGAUGCCCUUAGAUGCUCUGGGCUGCACGCGCGCUACAAUGGUGCAUUCAGCGAGAUUAACCUGGCUUGAAAAGGCUGGGUAAACUUAAAAGUGCAUCUCAGUUGGGAUAGAUGAUUGCAAUUUUUCAUCUUGAACAAGGAAUAUCUAGUAAACGCAAGUCAUCAACUUGCAUUGAUUACGUCCCUGCCCUUUGUACACACCGCCCGUCGCUCCUACCGAUUGAAUAAUCCGGUGAAUUGAGUGGGUUGGAAGACAUUUUGUGUGUUCUCACAUAAGAUGCCGUCCAAGANGCUCUGUGAACCUUAUUAUUUAGAGGAAGGAGAAGUCG